UACGUAGGGUGCGAGCGUUAAUCGGAAUUACUGGGCGUAAAGGGUGCGCAGGCGGUCUCGUAAGCUGGGUGUGAAAGCCCCGGGCUUAACCUGGGAAUGGCAUUCAGGACUGCGAGGCUUUGAGUGCGGCAGAGGGAGGUGGAAUUCCACGUGUAGCAGUGAAAUGCGUAGAGAUGUGGAGGAACACCGAUGGCGAAGGCGGGUCUCUGGGCCGAUACUGACGCUGAGGAGCGAAAGCGUGGGGAGCGAACAGG
This 254-nucleotide ribosomal RNA is filed under the name uncultured bacterium. Its description in RNAcentral is "partial 16S ribosomal RNA". It matches the Rfam family "Bacterial small subunit ribosomal RNA", at positions 524 to 776 of the family's 1533-position model. The record is from RNAcentral.